GUUAAGGUGGCAGAGUCCGGUAAUGCGUAAGCCCUAAGCCCUUUCAACAAAGGUUCAAAUCCUUUCCUUAACU
This 73-nucleotide transfer RNA is filed under the name Chelmon rostratus (copperband butterflyfish). Its description in RNAcentral is "tRNA-Leu". It matches the Rfam family "tRNA". Rfam says of the family: Transfer RNA (tRNA) molecules are approximately 80 nucleotides in length. Their secondary structure includes four short double-helical elements and three loops (D, anti-codon, and T loops). Lineage: Eukaryota; Metazoa; Chordata; Actinopteri; Chaetodontiformes; Chaetodontidae. The record is from RNAcentral.